GGUCUGGUGGUGUAGUUGGUUAUCACGUCAGUCUAACAGCUCGAGAACAUCUCACGAUGUCCUCACUGCACACUGAAGGUCUCCGGUUCAAGUCCGGGCUAGAUCA
This 106-nucleotide transfer RNA is filed under the name Colletotrichum zoysiae. Its description in RNAcentral is "tRNA-Val". It matches the Rfam family "tRNA". Rfam says of the family: Transfer RNA (tRNA) molecules are approximately 80 nucleotides in length. Their secondary structure includes four short double-helical elements and three loops (D, anti-codon, and T loops). Lineage: Eukaryota; Fungi; Ascomycota; Sordariomycetes; Glomerellales; Glomerellaceae. The record is from RNAcentral.